UGCUCGAGUGGCGAACGGGUGAGUAACACGUGAGUAACCUGCCCUUGACUUUGGGAUAACUUCAGGAAACUGGGGCGUAAUACCUGAUAGGAGCUCCUGCUGCAUGGUGGGGGUUGGAAAGUUUCGGCGGUUGGGGAUGGACUCGCGGCUUAUCAGCUUGUUGGUGGGGUAGUGGCUUACCAAGGCUUUGACGGGUAGCCGGCCUGAGAGGGUGACCGGCCACAUUGGGACUGAGAUACGGCCCAG
Molecule: ribosomal RNA, 246 nt
Filed under: uncultured Actinomycetales bacterium
Lineage: Bacteria; Bacillati; Actinomycetota; Actinomycetes; Actinomycetales
Description: partial 16S ribosomal RNA
Rfam family: Bacterial small subunit ribosomal RNA
Source: RNAcentral